UUGACAUGUCCGGAAUCCUAGCAGAGAGUGCGGGAGUGCCGAAAGGGAAUCGGAACACAGGUGCUGCAUGGCUGUCGUCAGCUCGUGUCGUGAGAUGUUGGGUUAAGUCCCCGCAACCGAGCGCAACCCUUAUCAUUAGUUGCUACGCAAGGGCACUCUAAUGAGACUGCCGGUGACAAACCGGAGGAAGGUGGGGAUGACGUCAAGUCCUCAUGGCCCUUAUGGGUAGGGCUUCACACGUCAUACAAUGGUCGGUACAGAGGGUUGCCAAGCCGCGAGGUGGAGCCAAUCCCAGAAAGCCGAUCGUAGUCCGGAUUGUUCUCUGCAACUCGAGAGCAUGAAGUCGGAAUCGCUAGUAAUCGCGGAUCAGCAUGUCGCGGUGAAUACGUUCCCGGGUCUU
RNAcentral lists this ribosomal RNA (400 nucleotides) under uncultured Thiobacillus sp. RNAcentral describes it as "bacterial SSU rRNA". It matches the Rfam family "Bacterial small subunit ribosomal RNA", at positions 981 to 1382 of the family's 1533-position model. Lineage: Bacteria; Pseudomonadati; Pseudomonadota; Betaproteobacteria; Nitrosomonadales; Thiobacillaceae. The record is from RNAcentral.